This 22-nucleotide non-coding RNA is filed under the name Mus musculus (house mouse). Lineage: Eukaryota; Metazoa; Chordata; Mammalia; Rodentia; Muridae. The record is from RNAcentral.
CUGCCAUCCUUCAAUCCCAAAA